AGUGAACGCUGGCGGCGUGCUUAACACAUGCAAGUCGAACGAGAACGGAAUAUAGCUUGCUAUAUUUGUCAGCUAAGUGGCGCACGGGUGAGUAAUGUAUAGAUAACCUGCCCUCUAGAAAGGAAUAACAGUUGGAAACGACUGCUAAUGCCCUAUAUGCCUUUAAUACAUAAGUAUGCAAGGGAAACGCUUUAGUGCUAGAGGAUGGGUCUGUAUGGUAUCAGUUAGUUGGUGAGGUAAUGGCUCACCAAGACUAUGACGCCUAACUGGUUUGAGAGGAUGAUCAGUCACGCUGGAACUGGGACACGGUCCAGACUCCUACGGGAGGCAGCAGUGGGGAAUAUUGCACAAUGGACGAAAGUCGGAUGCAGCAACGCCGCGUGGAGGAUGACACAUUUCGGUGCGUAAACUCCUUUUAUAUAGGAAGAUAAUGACGGUACUAUAUGAAUAAGCACCGGCUAACUCCGUGCCAGCCGCCGCAGUAA
RNAcentral lists this ribosomal RNA (485 nucleotides) under uncultured bacterium. RNAcentral describes it as "partial 16S ribosomal RNA". It matches the Rfam family "Bacterial small subunit ribosomal RNA", at positions 29 to 523 of the family's 1533-position model. The record is from RNAcentral.